CGGCGGACGGGUGAGUAACGCGUGGGUAACCUGCCUCAUACAGGGGGAUAACAGUUAGAAAUGACUGCUAAUACCGCAUAAGACCACGGUACCGCAUGGUACAGUGGUAAAAACUCCGGUGGUGUGAGAUGGACCCGCGUUUGAUUAGCUAGUUGGUGGGGUAACGGCCUACCAAGGCGACGAUCAAUAGCCGACCUGAGAGGGUGACCGGCCACAUUGGGACUGAGACACGGCCCAA
Molecule: ribosomal RNA, 238 nt
Filed under: uncultured bacterium
Lineage: Bacteria
Description: partial 16S ribosomal RNA
Rfam family: Bacterial small subunit ribosomal RNA
Source: RNAcentral